This 497-nucleotide ribosomal RNA is filed under the name uncultured bacterium. RNAcentral's name for it is "partial 16S ribosomal RNA". It matches the Rfam family "Bacterial small subunit ribosomal RNA", at positions 28 to 507 of the family's 1533-position model. The record is from RNAcentral.
GAUGAACGCUGGCGGCGUGCCUAAUACAUGCAAGUCGAGCGAACAGACGAGGAGCUUGCUCCUCUGACGUUAGCGGCGGACGGGUGAGUAACACGUGGAUAACCUACCUAUAAGACUGGGAUAACUUCGGGAAACCGGAUCUAAUACCGGAUAAUAUAUUGAACCGCAUGGUUCAAUAGUGAAAGACGGUUUUGCUGUCACUUAUAGAUGGAUCCGCGCCGCAUUAGCUAGUUGGUAAGGUAACGGCUUACCAAGGCAACGAUGCGUAGGCGAACUGAGAGGGUGAUCGCCCACAUGGGAACUGGGCCACGGUCCAGAGUCCUGAGGGAGGGAGCAGUAGGGUACGUGCCGCAGUGGGGGAAAGCCUGACGGAGCAACCGGCCGUCAGUUAUGGAGGUGUUCGGAGCGUAAUACCCGGUUACUGGGUGAGAACAAAUGUGUAAGUAACUAUGCACGUCUUGACGGUACCUAAUCAGAAAGCCACGGCUAACUACGUG